CCUACGGGAGGCUGCAGUGAGGAAUAUUGGUCAAUGGGCGCGAGCCUGAACCAGCCAAGUCGCGUGAGGGAAGACGGUCCUAUGGAUUGUAAGCCUCUUUUGUCGGGGAGCAAGAGACGCCACGCGUGGCGUUCCGAGAGUACCCUAAGAAAAAGCCUCGGCUAACUCCGUUCCAUCAGGCGCGGUAAUACGGGGGAUGCGCGCGUUGUCCGGGUUUCUUGGGUUAAAGGGGGGCGCAGGCGGAAGAUCAAGUCAGCGGUAAAAGUGAGUGGCUCAACCCCUGAGAGGCGUUGAAACUGGUUUGCUUGAGUGAGCGAGAAGUAUGCGGAAUGCGUGGUGUAGCGGUGAAAUGCAUAGAUAUCACGCAGAACUCCGAUUGCGAAGGCAGCAUACCGGCGCUCAACUGACGCUGAUGCACGAAAGUGUGGGUAUCGAACAGGAUUAGAUACCCGAGUAGUC
Molecule: ribosomal RNA, 459 nt
Filed under: uncultured bacterium
Lineage: Bacteria
Description: partial 16S ribosomal RNA
Rfam family: Bacterial small subunit ribosomal RNA
Source: RNAcentral